Molecule: ribosomal RNA, 2291 nt
Filed under: Altererythrobacter insulae
Lineage: Bacteria; Pseudomonadati; Pseudomonadota; Alphaproteobacteria; Sphingomonadales; Erythrobacteraceae
Description: Altererythrobacter sp. BPTF-M16 23S ribosomal RNA
Rfam family: Bacterial large subunit ribosomal RNA
Source: RNAcentral
GGUUAAGUGACUAAGCGUAUGUGGUGGAUGCCUUGGCAGUUAGAGGCGAUGAAGGACGUGUUAAUCUGCGAAAAGCGUUGGUGAGGUGAUAAAAACCGUUAUAGCCAACGAUGUCCGAAUGGGGAAACCCACCUAGCAUAAGCUAGGUAUCAUUAUCUGAAUACAUAGGAUAAUGAAGCGAACCGGGAGAACUGAAACAUCUAAGUACCCCGAGGAAAAGAAAUCAACCGAGAUUUCGUUAGUAGCGGCGAGCGAACGCGAAUCAGCCCUUAAGCUUAUUGGGCGCUAGUGGAAGGUUCUGGAAAGGACCACGAUACAGGGUGAUAGUCCCGUACACUAAAGCAACCUUUAAGUGAAAUCGAGUAGGACGGAGCACGUGAAACUUUGUCUGAAUAUGGGGGGACCAUCCUCCAAGGCUAAAUACUACUAACUGACCGAUAGUGAACCAGUACCGUGAGGGAAAGGCGAAAAGAACCCCUGUGAGGGGAGUGAAAUAGAACCUGAAACCGCAUACGUACAAGCAGUGGGAGCCCGAUUUAGUCGGGUGACUGCGUACCUUUUGUAUAAUGGGUCAGCGACUUAUAUUCUGUAGCAAGGUUAACCGAUUAGGGGAGCCGUAGCGAAAGCGAGUGUUAACUGCGCGUUUAGUUGCAGGGUAUAGACCCGAAACCCGGCGAUCUACCCAUGGGCAGGUUGAAGGUUGAGUAACAUCAACUGGAGGACCGAACACACGUAUGUUGAAAAAUGCGGUGAUGACUUGUGGGUCGGAGUGAAAGGCUAAUCAAGCCGGGAGAUAGCUGGUUCUCCCCGAAAUCUAUUUAGGUAGAGCCUCGCACGAACACCAUUGGGGGUAGAGCACUGUUAAGGCUAGGGGGUCAUCCCGACUUACCAACCCUUUGCAAACUCCGAAUACCAAUGAGUGAUAUGCGGGAGACACACUGCGGGUGCUAACGUCCGUUGUGAAGAGGGAAACAACCCAGACCGCCAGCUAAGGUCCCAAAGUACUAGUUAAGUGGGAAACGAUGUGGAAAGGCAUAGACAGCUAGGAGGUUGGCUUAGAAGCAGCCAUCCUUUAAAGAAAGCGUAAUAGCUCACUAGUCGAGUCGGUCUGCGCGGAAGAUGUAACGGGGCUAAACUAGUCACCGAAGCUGCGGAUUCAGAAUUUAUUCUGAGUGGUAGGGGAGCGUUCUGUAAGCCGUUGAAGGUGAAUUGAGAAGUUUGCUGGAGGUAUCAGAAGUGCGAAUGCUGACAUGAGUAACGAUAAGGGGAGUGAAAAACUUCCCCGCCGAAAGACCAAGGUUUCCUGUCCCAUGUUAAUCAGGGCAGGGUAAGUCGGCCCCUAAGGCGAGGCGGAAACGCGUAGUCGAUGGGAAACAGAUUAAUAUUUCUGUACUUCUAUAUAUUGCGAAGGAGGGACGGAGUAGGCUAGGUGAGCACGGCGUUGGUAGUCCGUGUGAAAGUAUGUAGGCUGAAGACUUAGGUAAAUCCGGGUCUUCUUAAGGCUGAGAUACGAGACGAGAUUCUACGGAAUUGAAGUCAUUGAUGCCAUGCUUCCAGGAAAAGCUUCUAAGCUUCAGAUAUAUAGGAACCGUACCCCAAACCGACACAGGUGGUUAGGUAGAGAAUACUAAGGCGCUUGAGAGAACUCGGGUGAAGGAACUAGGCAAAAUAGUACCGUAACUUCGGGAGAAGGUACGCUACUCAUGGUGAAGCCCUUGCGGUGUAAGCUAAGAGUAGUCGAAGUAACCAGGUGGCUGGAACUGUUUAUUAAAAACACAGCACUGUGCAAAAUCGAAAGAUGACGUAUACGGUGUGACGCCUGCCCGGUGCCGGAAGGUUAAUUGAUUGGGUUAGUCCUCGGACGAAGCUCAUGAUCGAAGCCCCGGUAAACGGCGGCCGUAACUAUAACGGUCCUAAGGUAGCGAAAUUCCUUGUCGGGUAAGUUCCGACCUGCACGAAUGGCGUAAUCAUGGCCACACUGUCUCCACCCGAGACUCAGUGAAAUUGAAUUUGCGGUUAAGAUGCCGUAUACCCGCGGCUAGACGGAAAGACCCCGUGAACCUUUACUAUAGCUUGACAGUGAACAUUGCUCCUACAUGUGUAGGAUAGGUGGGAGGCGUUGAAACUUUGUCGCCAGAUGAAGUGGAGCCACUCUUGAAAUACCACCCUUGUAUGCGUGAUGUUCUAACCUAGGGCCGUAAUCCGGCUUGGGGACACUGUCUGGUGGGUAGUUUGACUGGGGCGGUCUCCUCCCAAAGAGUAACGGAGGAGCACGAAGGUUGGCUAAGUAC